Molecule: long non-coding RNA, 668 nt
Organism: Bombus huntii
Lineage: Eukaryota; Metazoa; Arthropoda; Insecta; Hymenoptera; Apidae
Exons: 4
Source: RefSeq, a predicted model, not a curated record
UUGGGAUGUAUAAAUUUUCGUGCGAAUAUCGUAUUGCGCAGUAGCAAUCUGAGUGAAACAGAAAAUGAAUAUAGCAUCGUGUGCACCGUUGCAUUUUGGGAUAGAAUUGACGAUUAAAAUAUCGUGUAUUUGUCGAAUGAAAAAGAAGAAUGCUUCGUAAAAAUGCGUAGAAAAACUGGAGGGGAAUGAAAAUUCAAGACAAUUUCCGAAAGUGUGAAAUAGAGUUCCUUUCUUGAAAUUCGCGAAACAAUGAGAUUUUUUGAUUGAUGACGAAUUUAUAAUACGUUCGAGAAGGCAUUUGAUUUUUGCAAAUAAAAUUUGACAGACAUGGAAUUGAUCAAUGGUCUUCCUUUGACUUAACAACAUUCAAACAACUGCAUAUCUUCAAGAUUGAUUUACAAUCUUGUUUUAAGAUUAAGUGUAGAAAGUCUUGGAUUGAUAUAAGUUCUUUCUCAAGGAAAUAAACGGUAGUAGCUCGUUCGGGAAUGUCAUUGAAGUCCUCAUUCCUUGACAACCUUGUCAUCAUUUACAACGUUCCAAUCAUCCUCGCAGUCUUAAGAGAUGGUGUCAGCAUUGCCCAUUGCGACACGACUAUUGGAGACAAGAACUUUUCGUUUGUAGCCAAACUUGGGGCUGCUUCAUCCAAGUAGGACACUGGCGCACUGCUA